RNAcentral lists this ribosomal RNA (467 nucleotides) under uncultured bacterium. Its description in RNAcentral is "partial 16S ribosomal RNA". It matches the Rfam family "Bacterial small subunit ribosomal RNA", at positions 29 to 507 of the family's 1533-position model. The record is from RNAcentral.
ACGCACGCUGGCGGCGUGCUUCACACAUGCAAGUCGAACGGAAAGGCCCUGCUUUUGUGGGGUGCUCGAGUGGCGAACGGGUGAGUAACACGUGAGUAACCUGCCCUUGACUUUGGGAUAACUUCAGGAAACUGGGGCUAAUACCGGAUAGGAGCUCCUGCUGCAUGGUGGGGGUUGGAAAGUUUCGGCGGUUGGGGAUGGACUCGCGGCUUAUCAGCUUGUUGGUGGGGUAGUGGCUUACCAAGGCUUUGACGGGUAGCCGGCCUGAGAGGGUGACCGGCCACAUUGGGACUGAGAUACGGCCCAGACUCCUACGGGAGGCAGCAGUGGGGAAUAUUGCACAAUGGGCGGAAGCCUGAUGCAGCAACGCCGCGUGCGGGAUGACGGCCUUCGGGUUGUAAACCGCUUUCGCCUGUGACGAAGCGUGAGUGACGGUAAUGGGUAAAGAAGCGCCGGCUAACUACGUG